UAAAUAAUUUGAGGGAUUGUGUUAGCAUAUAAAAACGCACCCAAAGGUGAGUACAUAGUUCCCCUAUUUUACUGUUUUCAAUUGUUUUGGGGUGAUUCAUAUGUAUCAAAACGAUUUCGAUGUUUUAACGAUGGUUUCACAACGAGUGAAGUUGCUUAGUGUUGAUUGCGAAUAGGAAGCAUGCUCACUUAGGACCGGACGAGGCCUUAGUGAUUUAAUAAUGAUAUUAGUCUAUGUUUGAUUUGCUUGUUUAACUUUAAAACAAUGUUUAAUAUUUAAUGAAAUGAAACUCUUCGUAUCCAUGGUUUGAAACAAUAAUUCUGUUACAACACUCCCCGGCGUUUCCGCCACGAUUUGUCGUUUUACGUGGUGGGGGUGUGACAGAAGAGUUGGUAUCAGAGCCAAUGGUUAUAGAGAAUUAGGUUAUUAGUAAAAAUUUCGACCUAGACUAUAACUUUCUAGGACCCCAACGCAAGUUGAUUUGCGUUUAGGAUUAAAAAAAAACGAAAUCCGAAUCUGCUUCAAAAAUUAAUCGUCCGUUCUAGGAUGAUUAAUUACUAGGUUUUGAACCCUCCUAUUUUGAUUCAUUUUUGGCUUAGUGCCUUCUGAGUU
RNAcentral lists this long non-coding RNA (612 nucleotides) under Helianthus annuus (common sunflower). Its description in RNAcentral is "sRNA HanXRQr2_Chr06g0264221". Lineage: Eukaryota; Viridiplantae; Streptophyta; Magnoliopsida; Asterales; Asteraceae. The record is from RNAcentral.